CAAAAAUAAAGCAAAAAAUGAAAGCAACUAUUAUGUCUAUCCAUCUGCCCCUCAGUCACCUCUUUGCUCCCCUCAGGGCCAAGGUUCCAGUAGUCCUGGCUGGUUACUACCCUCCAUACCCCCAGAGCCUUUUCUGGUCUCAUCCUUCUCAUCCUUUGUGUGCCAAGUGCUGCUCUGGACUGCCUGGACACUGCCCACUAAGCCUCAAGACAGGUGCCAUAGAGAGGAACAACACAGAAGAGCCACAAAGAAUGAGUAAUUUGCUUCCAGUCACAUCUAGGGUUGGGACCAGGCAGUCAAGCUCCAGCACCUGGACCCUUGACCAGUGCUCCCCAGGACCACCUAAAUGGUCAUCAGGACUCCACAUUAUUUGCACAGGCUGUUCCCUUUUUGUCACGUCUCUUUCCUUCUUUGCCUCACCCAUUAUUGCAAAUACCACCUUUUCUAGGGAGGCAGAAGGUAUCUUCUGGGCAGCCCCCUGUGCUCCCCUGGAGGCGUUUCCCUAGCAAAUUGUGUUCUACACAAACUUUUUUCACUGUGCUUUCCACCUUUCAAGGUCCUAAACAGAGACCUUGGAAAGGGCUCAAGACACUUUUUCCACCUCUCCUUCAUUCAGGUCUUUGGAGAGCUGGAACCAGCUGUGCUGUCCUGCCUCCAAGGAUACAGUGUCUGCAUCUUCACCUAUGGCCAGACCGGGACUGGAAAGACAUACAGCAUGGAGGUGGGGUGGAGCUCACACGGGGGGGGGGGGGAGGCCUCAGAGGCUUGAAUGUGAGCCCAAUGGGGUAUUCCACACCACCUUCAGGGCCCACCUGAGGACCCAGGCAUAGCUCCCAGGGCGCUGCAGUCACUGUUCAGGGAAAUGGGGACUGGAGGGCAGCACCGUGUGACCCUCAGCAUGGUGGAGAUCUACAAUGAGGCAGUCAGGUCAGGGCUGUGCUGUAGGGGUGGUGGGCUACUAUUUGCCCUGGCCCAAGACUCCUGCUACCCUUAGAAUCCUGGAACCAAACUCUCCUGGUCUCCCCAGGGACCUCCUGGCCCCAGGACCUCCAGAGCGCCUAGCUGUGAGGCAGGGCCCAGCAGGACAGGGGGGAAUCCAAGUAGCUGGCCUCACCCACUGGGACGUGCCCAACCUGGAGACUUUGCACCAGGUAAAGAUGCCCUCUAAGGCCUCUCCUCUUGCUCCCAUCUGGGAUUGGGGACUGUGUACCAGCCGCGGCCUCAUCGCUCCUAACAGAUGUUGAGCCUGGGGAGAAGUAACCGGGCCACUGCCGCCACUUCCAUGAACCCACGCAGCUCCCGAUCCCAUGCUCUCGUUACACUGACGCUGUGUGCAGCUUCUCCACCGAGCGCCCCAGGCACUGCAGGUAGCAAACACUGCAAUGCCUGAGCUUUUGCAGGGUUUCCAGUGUGCCUGAAGCCUGGCCUCCCUUCAUGUAGGGCUUGCUCACCUUUGCAGGCACGCUGCACCUGGUGGACCUGGCGGGAUCUGAGCGUGCUUGGAAGGCGGGAGCUACUGGCACGCAGCGAGGAGAUCCCAACAGUGCCCAGCGUCUGCGGGAGGCCCAGACUAUCAACCGCUCGCUGCUGGCGCUGGGAGGCGUGAUGGCUGCGUUGCGUGCCCGCCGGUCCCACGUGCCCUUCCGCGACUCGCAGCUCACACGUCUGUUGCAGCCUGCGCUUGGUCCGGGUACCACUGCUGUGCUGCUUCUACAGGUGUGCGCCCCGGCAGCAGCGGGUGGAGUGCAGGAGGGUCCUUUGUGUGUGAAGCACCGCAGGCUGGCCCACAAGCACUUUUCCUCCUCAGAUCUCUACGCGGCCAGAGGAUCUCGGGGAGACCGUCUGUUCGCUCAAGUUUGCGGAGCGAGUGGGUCAGGUGGAGCUGGGACCAGCACGGCGCCGCAAGGCACCACGCUCCGAGACCCCAUCCUCCCUCAGUACCGACACCCCACUUACUGGGACCCCCUGCACUCCUACGAGGUCUCCUGUCAGCCCUCCAAGCCCCAGCCCUGACAGCGGCUCAUGCUCUGCCCUAGGGCCCUCAGGGGACCUUCCCCCCUAGUCUUGGGUGGAGGCCCUGCACAAGAGACCUGGGGAUAUAACUCUGCUGGCAGAGGCAGCAGUACAGUUCUUAUAUCGGGUCUCCCAAGACAAUCUUCUUGACUUCUGGGGGCCUACUUCUCUCCAAACUUCCAGAGUUGCUCCCCACAACCCCAGCCAGAGAAGAGCCUGGAGAAUUGAUUUUGCCCCACCCCACUGAGUCAGAGGCCCUCAGCUCCCUCCUUAUCACCAUUUGCCGUUAUCACAGCACACAGCAGGGGAUCCCAGAGCCACAGGAACCAGACAUGACUCUGGCCAAGGAGUUUCCCAGGUCACCACCUCUGCUCCAAAAAUAAGACUAGGCAUUAAAAUGCUGUAAAUUCUUUUAAUGUUACACCACUACCACCACUUCAAGUCUAUGUAGGGUCCAGUUUUUAUUCCCUAACCCUUUCCCCAAAAGGUGCUACCUCCUCAGACAGUUGAGGGAUGGCAGGACUUCAGGCUGGACCCACCAUUAAGGAGCUCCCUCCCCCAGCCUGGAGCCAGGAGGGAGGUGACAGAUGGUGAUGGAUGAAUAGAUAGAUGGGCUAGGCCUGAAGAUAGAAUCAUGAUUUGCUACUCCAGGUUGAGUCCUGCUCCUUUAGCAUUGCCCCUGGGUGUAGGGGGAGGCAGAGAGGCAAGACUGACCAAGCCCAGGUUGGUGCCCAGCUGAGUGGCAGCUUUUUCUGGAGCAGCCCAAUAAACAUUGUGGACUCUCAUUAAGCAAGGCUGGAGCCUAUUGGGGCUACAGACAUCUUCCUACCUUGGUUCCCCAUCAAGGAGAUGGGGAGAGAAGCAACCCCUGCUCUAGAAAGCUUCAGAGGCUGUACCAGGAAAGCAGCCAGCCUGGAGCAGGGGCAGCCAUGUCACGAGGGUGGCUGACCCACACAUCAUAGAUGCUCUUGUUGGGUGGUACUCCCUGGAAGAGAGUGUCUAGAUCCCAGAGCAGCCUUGGGGACCCUUGGGAUUCAGAGGCCACCCCCCAGUAGGCUGGGCUGGUUGAAGGUGGACACUGGGGACAGGAAGUGGAUGGUAGUGGGGCUAAAGGCAUUACCACAUUGGGUGUGUAGAUGGGCAAGUAGGAGGUGGGCAACUGUCCCCACAGGGAGGCCCUGCAUCCCCCACUGGACAGUACCCC
RNAcentral lists this long non-coding RNA (3217 nucleotides) under Marmota monax (woodchuck). Lineage: Eukaryota; Metazoa; Chordata; Mammalia; Rodentia; Sciuridae. The record is from RNAcentral.